AAUAAACUUAUGAGAAGAAGAGUAACCUAAAAUUUUGAUUAAAGAGAGCUUCGUUUUGGUGAAAGAAGUAGAUGAAUUUUUUGUGAACAUGGCCUUCUCUAGGAAAUACUGAUAUUAGGUAUUUACGGGUCUUCCCGUUACAGAAGUAGAGUAUGAUAGUACUUGAAGAGGUCGCUUUCGUGAGGAAGCGAUAAAUUAAGGUGGUAACACGAGCUUUCGUCCUUAUG
Molecule: non-coding RNA, 227 nt
Organism: Peptoniphilus harei ACS-146-V-Sch2b
Lineage: Bacteria; Bacillati; Bacillota; Tissierellia; Tissierellales; Peptoniphilaceae
Source: Rfam